UGUGUUUACAUUGGAAGAUAAGUGACGGUCAUAUGUUUAUAUAUAGUCAUAGACGUAUAUAUAUAGUCAUAUAUGUAUAAGAGAAAUUCUAUAUAUACUACAAUUUUUUUUUUGCAAAUAUCUUAAAAAUUAAAUUUGAUAAUAUAUGUAAAGGAAAAAAUUGUUGAUUUCUAUAACAUAUUCAAAAAUUAUAAUUUAUAUAUUAUAAAAUUCAUAAUUUAUAUACUAUAAAAAAUCUCUUUAUUCUAAAUAAUUACCAAAUAAUAAUAGACGUGCAGAAAAAGCGAUAAUUAUCUUUUCAAAAUAUACUUUCUCAAUUGGCAUGAUGUACAUAUCAUAUCGAGUUGUGUAAUCAUAACAAUUAAUCGCGUUUAAUCAACGAUCUUUGUAUAGUUUCAAUAUUUAUGUAUAUAAAUACUAGAAUUAUGUAUAUUAUAAAUUUCAUAAUGAGUUUUAGUUGCUGUAAACAUAUCUAUAUAGUAGAUGAUUAAAAAAUAGUACAAUAAUCGAAAGUUUUAGUAAAAAUUAACUAAGAUGAUUCGAUCUAUCAUUCUCAAAAUUGAUAGAAUAUGGUAAUUUCUGAUGAGAUUUUUCAUAAAUAUAAAAAAAGAAAACAAAAAAAGAACAAGAAGAAUUUAACAAAAAUAUGUGAAAAUAAGAAUAGUGUAAAAAUAGUUAUAUAGAAAUAAAAAAAAGUGAUAAAAAUAAGAUAUAGAAAAAAAAGAAGAAAAAAAUACAGAAGGAGAAAUAUAUAAAAGAAAUAGAAGCAUUAAAAAACAUUAAAAAAGGAUAGCAAAAAGAAAAGAAAAGAAAAGAACAAAAGAAUAAAAGAUGAAUAAAAGAUAAGAAACAGGAUAUAAGGAAAUUAAAAUUAAUGGUUUCAGAAAAAAAAUUAUGAAAGUGAGCAAAAAAAAUAUGUAAUAUAGAUAAAAACAGAAAUGAAAAUAUUGUUAUAAAUAAGAGGAAGAAGAAGAUACAAAAUUCUUUUAGAAAUAAAGAAAAAUGUUAUAUAUAAAAAUGAAAUAAAAAAAAAUAUUCAGAAGAAGAGAGUUAAUGAAAUACAUAAAGCUUAACUGCAUGAUAUAAAAAAAGAAGAUUAAAUUAGAUUAUUCGUCAAAAAGGAUAGAACCGAAAGAUAAAUUAAGUUAUUUUUUCAGGUAUUAUUUAGGUAAUUAUGAAUUACAUGAAAUAAUUUUCAUCAUGAAAUAAGAUUCAAGACAUUUAUUAUUACAAAUAUUGAUAUACUAUUAGAGAUAUUGCCACCAAUGCAAUCCAUAUGUUCUUAUCUGAAAAAUGAUAUUCUUAUAUAUAAUCUUCUAAAAUCUUUUUUUGCUAUAAAUAAAUUCAAGAAAAAAUAUAAAAUUUGUAUAAUAUAGUCAUGUUCAAAAUAGAAGCAGAAGAGAAAUUAAAAAAGGAGUCCAGAUGACAAUAAUGAUGUCAUAUUUUUAAAAACUAAAUAAAAAUAAUAUAAAUAUGAUGUUCUUUAUAUUCUAUAUAAGAUGUAUAAAAAGUAUAUGUAAAGAAGAUUAUAAUUCUAUAUUUCUGGAUUGAUAAAAAUCUGUAAAUAAAAGUGUGGAAUGGAUUGCAAUCGUUUUCUGAAAAAAAGAAAAUUUCAUUUAAACAUUUUCAUCUUGAAUUUAUUUUAUUUACUUAUAUUCUUUAGUCAAUUACAAAUAUAAUUAAAUAUAAAGUUAUGUUACAAUAAAUAUUACAUUCAUUCUUGUUAUUUAUCAUAAUUUCAGAUGUCCAAAGAUUGUUUUAUAUUUUAUUUUUGUAUUCGCAAUAUUCAAACUUAAUAUUAGAUUUGAAACAUUUUAAAUUCAUCUAUGAGGGAGUAAUUAUUCGCUUAUUAUAUUAUGUCUUACAAAUUACCUGGUGUUUACAUUAAUAAAUCAUAAGUAUAAAAAAGAAAUUCUAUACAAGUAACAAUUUUUUUUGCAAAUAUCUCGAAAACUAAUCAUGUAAUAUGUAAAAAAAAAAAAUUUAUUCAAAAUAUUGAUUUUUCAAUAUAUUCAAAAACCAAUUCAACCAAAUAAAACAUAUUCGAUCAGUGAAGAUCUUUCUAUUUUUAAUAAUUAUUUAGAAAAAAGAAAGAAAGAUAUAGAAUAUAUAAAUUUGAUUUAUUUUUCUUGCAAUUAAUGAAGAAUGUAUAGAAUUCUUUUAUCUUUUUUCUUUUUAUGUCAUAAAUUAAAUAAAAUGAAUAUUUUUUUUUAAUUUUAAUUAAUAACUGCAUUUUAAUUUUUUUCAGAGAACACAAUUGCGAUGAUUCCUUUAAGAUUUUCCUUGAGUAAAAUACAUUACAUAAGUAAAACGUGAUGCAAUAAAAAGACUUGACUUUUUAUACAUCUAUUUUUAGUUUAUAUUUGCAAAUUUAAGAUUUUAAAAAAAUAAAUAAUUUCAAAGAUUAAAAUCGUUAUUUUAAUAUUAAUAUUUGAAAUUUCAAUAAUAAAAUAUUUUAUAACUUUAAAAUAGAUGUACAUAUUUAUAUCUAUUACUAUUCAUUUACUAUUACUAUUUUAUAUACUAUUUAUUAAGAUAUAUAAAAAGUACAUGUAAAGAACAUUACAAUGUGAUUUUAUACUUCUGGAUUAAUAAAGCUCUAUAAAUAAAAA
Long non-coding RNA from Apis cerana (Asiatic honeybee), 2612 nucleotides. RefSeq lists it as uncharacterized. The record is from RefSeq and is a predicted model, not a curated record. NCBI's taxonomy places the organism in Eukaryota, Metazoa, Arthropoda, Insecta, Hymenoptera, Apidae.